Molecule: non-coding RNA, 72 nt
Organism: Paramuricea clavata
Lineage: Eukaryota; Metazoa; Cnidaria; Anthozoa; Malacalcyonacea; Plexauridae
Source: the annotation of a GenBank genome assembly
GCUGCUUGCGUGACUGAGUUUGCGUGCGUGUGAGCUCAAUCACGCACGCAAACUCAGUCACGCAAGCAGCAC